GGAUAAGAAUUUUAAGAUUUUUAAGCCAAGAUCAAAUAACUUGGCAUUCUCGUGAGUUGCUUGCAUAUGAAUUAUUACUGGUUACUCGUAACUCCAUUCCACGAAUUCUACGCUGUGAAAAGGUCUCUACCUCAGGCAAAGAGUAGAAUUGGAUGGCUUCUUCAAGACUAGCUUCCCAAAAUGGAGCAUGUCGUCUGCAAUGAAUAUAUGAGAGAUUGUGGCCUUG
RNAcentral lists this unclassified non-coding RNA (226 nucleotides) under Hevea brasiliensis (rubber tree). Lineage: Eukaryota; Viridiplantae; Streptophyta; Magnoliopsida; Malpighiales; Euphorbiaceae. The record is from RNAcentral.